GGAGAGGUGUCAGAGUGGUCUAUUGUGCAACCUUGGAAAGGUUGUGUUCCUUUGCGGAACCCCGAGUUCGAAUCUCGGUCUCUCCGCCA
This 89-nucleotide transfer RNA is filed under the name Gammaproteobacteria bacterium. RNAcentral's name for it is "tRNA-Ser". It matches the Rfam family "tRNA". From Rfam's summary of the family: Transfer RNA (tRNA) molecules are approximately 80 nucleotides in length. Lineage: Bacteria; Pseudomonadati; Pseudomonadota; Gammaproteobacteria. The record is from RNAcentral. RNAcentral also lists the same sequence under 2 other names.